RNAcentral lists this ribosomal RNA (574 nucleotides) under uncultured Aspergillus. RNAcentral describes it as "eukaryotic LSU rRNA". The stretch from base 193 to 346 matches the Rfam family "5.8S ribosomal RNA". The record is from RNAcentral. Lineage: Eukaryota; Fungi; Ascomycota; Eurotiomycetes; Eurotiales; Aspergillaceae.
AUCAUUACCGAGUGAGGGCCCUCUGGGUCCAACCUCCCACCCAUGUCUAUCGUACCUUGUUGCUUCGGCGGGCCCGCCGUUUCGACGGCCGCCGGGGAGGCCUUGCGCCCCCGGGCCCGCGCCCGCCGAAGACCCCAACAUGAACGCUGUUCUGAAAGUAUGCAGUCUGAGUUGAUUAUCGUAAUCAGUUAAAACUUUCAACAACGGAUCUCUUGGUUCCGGCAUCGAUGAAGAACGCAGCGAAAUGCGAUAAGUAAUGUGAAUUGCAGAAUUCAGUGAAUCAUCGAGUCUUUGAACGCACAUUGCGCCCCCUGGUAUUCCGGGGGGCAUGCCUGUCCGAGCGUCAUUGCUGCCCUCAAGCACAGCUUGUGUGUUGGGCCCCCGUCCCCCUCUCCCGGGGGACGGGCCCGAAAGGCAGCGGCGGCACCGCGUCCGGUCCUCGAGCGUAUGGGGCUUUGUCACCUGCUCUGUAGGCCCGGCCGGCGCCAGCCGACACCCAACUUCAUUUUUCUAAGGUUGACCUCGGAUCAGGUAGGGAUACCCGCUGAACUUAAGCAUAUCAAUAAGCGGAGGA